AUGUUCAGGGUGAUGAAGAGGUCUGCGUACUCAGCCCACAGGCCCCUGAUGCCUGCGUCUAGUGAGGCCUCCAGUGGCAUCGGCAUCUUCAUGUGGAGGAACAUGGAACCUUGCUCUGUGGCCGUGUUCCCCUGGCAUUCUGUCCCCUUCCUGAACCCUCCCUGUAGCCGCGUGAGACCCAGCAACCUGCCAGUCACUCAGUGGCCUCCAACCAGACAAAAGAACCUGCCAAGUCAGCAGCUGUUGCUCAUGAGCGGCCACCAGGUGGGACAGGGAAUUCUGACCCUGGGCGGCCCGCUGGAACCACCUGCCCUGAAAGCCCAGGGCUUGGACCCCCACACACUUUGGGGGUGGUUGAACCUGGUAAGAGCCCACCUCCCACCAUGGAGGAGGAGUCCUGGGCCCCUCAGGGGAGCCCCUGCUGGACAGUGACACAGAGAACGACCAUGAUGAUGCCUUCCUCUCUGUCAUGUCUCCUGACACCCAGUUGCCUCUAGCACCCAGAAGAUGUCAGAUCCAGUCCCUCAGUGCUCUGCCUGGACUCAUCUUCUGAGAAGGAUGAAUGUAGCCCCAACAAAUGGGACAAAGACCACAUCCAGCGGCCCGUAAGUGGCGGUCAUGAUCUUCAGCAAGCAGCACCAAGUCCUGGCGGGGCCCACCAGCAUGGCCCCAACCAACAACCGGACCGUCUGCCAGAUCCUGGGUGAGUGGUGGAACACCCUGGGGCCCAAUGAGAAGGAGAAGUACCAUGACCUGACCUCCCAGGUGAAGGUGGCCCACUUGCAACAAGGACUGAAAGAAGUCCAGCCUGGAGGCGAAGCCCACAAGCCAGGGGCUGGCAGGAGGGUACAAGGGCUCGCGGAAGCACAGCAUGUCAGAGACGGCACUGCCAAUGCCCCUGGGGUGUCCUCUGAGCUCCUGUCAGUUGCAGCCCAGACACUCCAGAGCUGGGAUACCAAGGAGCAGCUUCUGUGGGGCAGAACAGCUGCACACAGUCAGGGAAUCUGGCUCAGCCUGGCCUAAGCCUUCUCCCACAGUGGAGUACACAGCCUGGACAGCAAGGAAGUGGACCGUCAGGCACUACAGGAACUGAGGCAGGUGGUGUCUGUGCUGCAUCAUAUCUGGCCCAAAGCCUUCUGCCUAGUAUGGCGCUCCAGGCCACUUUGCAGUCCCUGGUGAAGGAGGUGACCAGUGGGCAGCCCUGCUGCUGCCCACUUGAGCUGUUUAUUCCCAGCAUGUGGCCAGUGAGGACAUAGCGAGUGAGCAAGAGCACAUGGUCAUCCAUGAGGAGGAAGGGGUGAUGAUGUCAUUGCUGAUGAUGGCUUCAGCACCACUGACACUGAUCUCAAGUUCAAGGAGUGGGUGACCAAUUGAGAGUGGGGGCAGCUCUGGGAAGGAGCCAGAGGGCAACAAGGGCUUUGGUGGGAAGGCAUUUGCACCUGUCAUCCCUUCCUCCUUUACCCCCUGCCGCUCCUUGCUGGAUCCUGAGCUUCCAAGGCCCCCCUGAUCCAUCUGCAGUUUUUGGCAAAGGCUAUGGUCCCGCCCCAUCCUGCUCCUCCACAUACUCGGAUGCUUCCUCCUCAACCUCGGCAGCCACCUCCUUCUCAAUGGGCCCAGAAGCCUUCAAGGCUCAGGAGUCUGGUCAGGGCAGCAGAGCAGGCCCCCCAAGCCUCCUAUCCCCUGGGGCUGAGGGCCCAGAGACACCUUCCAAGGCGACCUGGUUCCUCCCAAUGGAUUCUGCCAUCUUCUGGCGCAAGAGACCUGAAAGUGUGGGCGACCUGGAGCCAGGAGGCCCCUCAGUCAUAGUGGCCCCUCCCGACAGUCUUCCAGGCCCACGGAUUCUUCCAGUUCCCCCGGACACAGCCGCCCCCCAGGCCCGCUAUGCACACAUCUUCCCUUCCAAGGUUUGUUCUGCCCCUGCCCCGACUCCCAGCCCCACGGGGGUCCUGACCACACCUCACCGGGCUAGGGCUCUGGCGCUGCCCCGGCUGCCCCGCCACUGCCCCGCCACUGCCUCUCCACUGCCUCUGGAGUCCUGGGAGGCUGGUAGUCGGAGCAGGGGCAGCAGCGGUGCCAUUUGGGGGUCGGUCCAAUGA
Mandrillus leucophaeus (drill) is the source of this 2096-nucleotide RNA transcript. It is a transcript of the gene named protein capicua homolog pseudogene, with no coding region annotated. The transcript has 3 exons. Lineage: Eukaryota; Metazoa; Chordata; Mammalia; Primates; Cercopithecidae. The record is from RefSeq and is a predicted model, not a curated record.